RNAcentral lists this long non-coding RNA (365 nucleotides) under Scleropages formosus (Asian bonytongue). RNAcentral's name for it is "lncRNA (ENSSFOG00015025185.1)". The record is from RNAcentral. Lineage: Eukaryota; Metazoa; Chordata; Actinopteri; Osteoglossiformes; Osteoglossidae.
AAUUGUGUAAGAAGAAACGGACAUGUUUAGCAAAGUUCGGAAAAAACUUGAGCAACGAAACUUCAGUUUGACAGUUUUGAUGAUGCUUCCAUUGGGCGCAGGGACUCGUCCAUACAACCAUCAUUUUGGGCUCCGUGAACAAUCUAAGGCCAUGUCUUAGGACUGCAGAAGGAAACCGGAGCGAACACAGGGAUAACAGGCCAACUCCACGCAGACUGAGCAUUCACAUGGAACAAUGCUUAAAUUUACCGUUUCAAAAUACAACCUAAUCCAACAGUAAUGCUAAUGCCUCAUGUUUUCUUGAACGGAUACUUACCUCGGGGCCCCUAACCAAGAAAAAUCAGCAAAAACAACCUGUACUGGAC